RNAcentral lists this long non-coding RNA (1557 nucleotides) under Capsella grandiflora. RNAcentral's name for it is "long non-coding RNA (CGRA_LNC001102)". Lineage: Eukaryota; Viridiplantae; Streptophyta; Magnoliopsida; Brassicales; Brassicaceae. The record is from RNAcentral.
AUUGCAGCUCAUUGGACGGUUCGUCUCCAUUCAGAGUUAUAGAAAUUGAGUCUAUAAAUAAUUGUCGACCCACUCUCUUGUUUUUUCCCCGCAUUGCUACUCCUACUCCUUUGUGGGUGUGCACAAAAGGGCAACCAGGUUCAAUGAACCUGGGAAUUUCUAUGGUGUUUAUCAUUCUUCAUAUACAUCACCCGUAAGCAUGCUCAUCACUAAGUUUAUAUACUUAAUAUAUUAUUUAUUUGCAUAUACCUAAUGAAGCGAAAUAAACAAUCUUUUUGCUUUCUUGGAUUUACUUAUUUGUGGUUUGUUAAUUAUUAUAUAUUAGAGACUUGUAUGUAUGUCAAAACGAAGCUUUGAAAUUGCAGACAAAAUGGGGUAAGAAGAGCAAGAAGAUAUAAACAUAUAUGUUUCAGUUUCAUUGACUUGUCGGCCGAUUCAUCACUUCAUUCUCAUGGUACGUACGUGAGUUUCCUCUUUCUUCCAUCUCUCUCUCUCUCUCUCUCCCUCUCUCUCUCUGUCUACAUAUAUAUAUAUAUACGUACCAUUGAUCAAAUACUUAUUUGCCAUAAUUUGAAUGUUGUUAUAAUUUAAUGAAAAUGUGACCACUAAUUAAGAGCCUAAGAGGUAAAAACGUUUCGUUGCAGUUUACUGCCUUGGCUAGUUGUUUUCAUUAGUUUCUUUCACGGCUGGCAAACAACAAAUGCAUUCUUCUUUGGGUAAAACACACACAGUACUAAGUUUAAGUAUUAGCACACGUUUCUAUAUUGUAUAUGUAAUAUGUGUAAUGUGUGUGUGUGUGAAAUAACUCGUUACGUGUUCUUGCUAAUAAUUAUGUAUCAAGUAUAUUGUUAAUUCUUAAUAAGCAUUUCAUGAACCUCACUUGGCCGGGUAAGGAGGAUUGAGAGGGUGUUUUUUUCGAAAGUUUUGUGGUUUAAUUUGCAAUACUAGAGUUUCCAAUAUCGGUUAGGGUUAAGUCAGUAUUCAUCCCCUAAUAUAUCUAUAUAUAUAUAUAUGUGUGUGUGUGUGUGUGUGUGUGUGUGUUUCUUUGGUCGAAUCAUCUCUUUCUAAAUAAGUAUAAACCUGCAAUCCUAUAUACUUGAUCAGAUGAGAUGAAUGCUAACUUAUCCGAAACGGUCUACUUGGUAAUUUGUAAGAUUAUGCAUGUCAAAAUCUAAAGGAAAGUAUGUUGGUGAUAUAUUGUUUAUCUUUCCUCCAUGCAGAGAGAUCAACCUCAAAGAUCCGGAGUCAAACAUCUAACUAUAUACAUAGUAUGGCAUCGAGAGAUUCAAGUAUGACACAAAAAUAUGAGUCGUGUUAAUGGCUUGGAGCCAAUUGGAGCAUGAAAAAAGAAGAGUUCCCCUAUUAGAAACUUCAAUCUCUUUUGUAAGAGAAAACCAAAAAUAAAGUUUAUGCGUAAUUGUUGUCUUGUACUUCAUUUUCAUUAUUUUUUCUAUUUUGCAUGGACAAACUAAGAUUAUAGUUGGUUGUAAUCCUAUUCUAUAACUGGGCCUUGCUGACGCAUUUAUGGGACUGACUGGGAGAUGUCCUUUUUAUCUA